GUACGCAAACUGCCUUGACGCUGUGGCACCGGGCGUAGAAUCCGGAGCGUUGGGGCUGCAAGGGUCCCAAUAAUGGUUGUGAACCACCUUCUUCUUGAAGGCCUUCUGGACGGCGGUUCGAUUCCGCCCAGGUCCACCAGAAGCUUGCGCUUCUGAUGGGCCUGAUCUGGUUUCGACAGGGGGAGAUAGGGUCGUGACGCAACCCGUAACUCA
This 213-nucleotide transfer-messenger RNA is filed under the name Cupriavidus consociatus. It matches the Rfam family "Betaproteobacteria transfer-messenger RNA", at positions 1 to 197 of the family's 331-position model. From Rfam's summary of the family: Bacterial tmRNA, also known as 10Sa RNA or SsrA, is named for its dual tRNA and mRNA-like properties. Its role is to liberate the mRNA from a stalled ribosome. To accomplish this part of the tmRNA is used as a reading frame that ends in a translation stop signal. Lineage: Bacteria; Pseudomonadati; Pseudomonadota; Betaproteobacteria; Burkholderiales; Burkholderiaceae. The record is from RNAcentral.